This 387-nucleotide ribosomal RNA is filed under the name uncultured bacterium. RNAcentral's name for it is "bacterial SSU rRNA". It matches the Rfam family "Bacterial small subunit ribosomal RNA", at positions 29 to 417 of the family's 1533-position model. The record is from RNAcentral.
AUUGAACGCUGGCGGCAUGCCUUACACAUGCAAGUCGAACGGCAGCACGGGAGCAAUCCUGGUGGCGAGUGGCGAACGGGUGAGUAAUACAUCGGAACGUGCCCAGUAGUGGGGGAUAACCCGGCGAAAGCCGGACUAAUACCGCAUACGACCUACGGGUGAAAGCAGGGGAUCGCAAGACCUUGCGCUAUCGGAGCGGCCGAUGUCAGAUUAGCUUGUUGGNGGGGUAAAAGCCCACCAAGGCGACGAUCUGUAGCUGGUCUGAGAGGACGACCAGCCACACUGGGACUGAGACACGGCCCAGACUCCUACGGGAGGCAGCAGUGGGGAAUUUUGGACAAUGGGCGCAAGCCUGAUCCAGCCAUGCCGCGUGCGGGAAGAAGGCCU